CCUCUCGCGACGCGUAAACCCCGCACGUAAUCCCCCACCCUCUAAUCUCUCGAUGCCCCUCCCUGCAUUAAUCGCUGCUCCCCACCUCGCGCCUUCCCUGCCCGAGCUCUGCUUCCCACCUCGCUCGCCUCGCCUCGCCGGCAGUGAGCGCUCGCCAGAUCCAUGCUCCGCCGCCGUCGAUUCUCGCCUCCACCAGCCAACUACGCCACAUCACGACACGACCUCACAGGCCACCGACGAGGCCUCGCACCUCGACCUCACCGGCUAGCUCGACCCGCCUGGCACCACCAGCUCGUUCCCCCUCGCAUCUACCACCCGGCCGGGCAGCGAGUGCCUCACGGAUCCUCCUUCGAUCCUUCCCACCGGCCAGUUUUUUCAGUCGCCAAGUCGCCCCCAUCGAUUGAAUCUGCUGCAUCCGGGGGUACAUCAGCCAACCGGAGUAUAGGAUUGCAAAAUUCCGCCACUAUUUGGAGCUCCCCAUCCCCAAAUCAAAGGUGACACCCAACAAUGACCAAAAAAGAGUUGGUCAUGCUCCAGAGUCGAUAGCAUCACUUGUUUGCUUCAGAGAUUCCAUUCCUCCAAUGUAUCCUAUAUAUGCUUUCACUCUAUUUGGAUCUGGGAAACAAUACCAGUGUCAACCACAACCACGAGCACCAAGCCGGCAAACAGACAUGUGUUUGACUCCUCCGACUCCAUCUUGUCAUCCGCGGAGGCGGCAACGACCCUCCUAGUCGUCUCACCAGCGAUUUCGUCGGUCGUGCUCAGUGCAAGUAGUGCGAUGGAAGGCCGCACUGUCUUCUUCCUCCACCAGAUCAACGGCCUCCUUGGUACCGAUGAUGCUUGACUGUUGAAGCAAUAUUAGUAAAGAUAGGAAGCAAAUAACAUGAAUAUGUGCAUGUAUAUUUGUCUACUGUUGAAGCAGGAAAUGAAAGUAAUGGAACAUAGUUUGUUUA
Molecule: long non-coding RNA, 953 nt
Organism: Aegilops tauschii subsp. strangulata
Lineage: Eukaryota; Viridiplantae; Streptophyta; Magnoliopsida; Poales; Poaceae
Source: RefSeq, a predicted model, not a curated record